This 253-nucleotide ribosomal RNA is filed under the name uncultured bacterium. RNAcentral describes it as "partial 16S ribosomal RNA". It matches the Rfam family "Bacterial small subunit ribosomal RNA", at positions 524 to 776 of the family's 1533-position model. The record is from RNAcentral.
UACGGGGGGGGCAAGCGUUGUUCGGAAUUACUGGGCGUAAAGGGCGCGCAGGCGGCUCAUUUUGUCAGGCGUGAAAGCCCCGGGCUUAACCUGGGAACUGCGUUUGAUACGGAUGGGCUAGAGUUCGGGAGAGGAGAGUGGAAUUCCCAGUGUAGAGGUGAAAUUCGUAGAUAUUGGGAAGAACACCGGUGGCGAAGGCGGCUCUCUGGACCGAUACUGACGCUGAGGAGCGAAAGCAUGGGGAGCGAACAGG